RNAcentral lists this ribosomal RNA (381 nucleotides) under uncultured eukaryote. Its description in RNAcentral is "partial 18S ribosomal RNA". It matches the Rfam family "Eukaryotic small subunit ribosomal RNA", at positions 592 to 976 of the family's 1831-position model. The record is from RNAcentral.
CAAUAGCGUAUAUUAAAGCUGUUGUGGUUAAAAAGCUCGUAGUUGGAUUUCUGUCAAGGACAACUGGUCCGCCCUCCGGGUGAGCACAUAGUUUGGUCUUGACAUCUUGCUGGAAGCUGUUGCUGCACUUGGCUGUGUGGCGCAGUGUUCAGCACUUUCACUUUGAGGAAAUUGGAGUGUUUCAAGCAGGCACAUGCCUUUGGACACAGUAGCAUGGAAUAAUUAGAUUGGGCUUUUGCUCCAAUUUGUCGGUUUCUGGAGCUGAGGUGAGUAUUAAUGGGGAUUGUUGGGGGCAUCCGAAUUUAGCCGUCAGAGGUGAAAUUCUUGGAUCUGCUAAAGACGGACAACUGCGAAAGCGUUUGCCCAGGAUGUUUUCAUUGA